AGCAUCAUCUUGAAAAUGAGGGUUGCAAUAAAUUCUCAUAUCAAGUACCAUCAUCACCAGCCCAUGCUGUUUUUGAUAGAGAGAUGAGAAAGAGCAGGGAGAAUAUGGAUGGAAAUUUGACUAGAGUACACAAACAAAGCACUCAAGACAAGUCUGUAGUCCAUGUGCCCUCUAAGCAGAAACGUAGUCCUUCCAUGGAGGUUGGCACAAAAGUGAUUCUGAAGUCUUCAAUAUAUCCAAACAAAAGGCAUGUGGCACAUGCUAGCAUUUUGGGUUGUAGUUCAAAAAAAAUGGUUGGUGGCGUUGAGCUAGGUCGGCAGUUCAUAGAAGUGCAAGUUGAUCAACCUAUUGAGGAAUGUGAGCGCUUGGUAAGGGAAAGGGAAAAUUGUAUGACAAUUGGCGAUGCUUUCACCUCUGGAUUAACAAUUGCUUGGCCU
This is a long non-coding RNA of Triticum aestivum (bread wheat), 437 nucleotides long. RefSeq lists it as uncharacterized. The record is from RefSeq and is a predicted model, not a curated record. The transcript has 3 exons. Lineage: Eukaryota; Viridiplantae; Streptophyta; Magnoliopsida; Poales; Poaceae.